GGAGGCAGCAGUAAGGAAUAUUGGUCAAUGGGUGAAAGUCUGAUCCAGCCAUGCCGCGUGAAGGAUGAAGGCCCUAUGGGUUGUAAACUCCUUUUAUAUAGGGAAGAAACCUAGUUAUUUGUAUCUAGUUGAAGGUACCAGAGGAAUAAGCACCGGCUAACUCCGUGCCAGCAGCCGCGGUAAUACGGAGGGUGCAAGCGUUAUCCGGAUUUAUUGGGUUUAAAGGGUGCGUAGGCGGACCGGUAAGUCAGUGGUGAAAUCUCCCAGCUUAACUAUGAAACUGCCGUUGAUACUAUAGGUCUUGAGUAAUUUGGAGGUAGCUGGAAUAAGUCGUGUAGCGGUGAAAUGCUUAGAUAUGACAUAGAACACCGAAUUGCGAAGGCAGGUUACCAAGAUUUCACUGACGCUGAGCGACGAAAGCGUGGGGAUCAAACAGGAUUAGAUACCCUGGUAGUCCACGCCGUAAACGAUGCUAACUCGACUUUGGGGAUCAGGCUUCAGAGUCCAAGCGAAAGCGAUAAG
This 522-nucleotide ribosomal RNA is filed under the name uncultured bacterium. Its description in RNAcentral is "bacterial SSU rRNA". It matches the Rfam family "Bacterial small subunit ribosomal RNA", at positions 344 to 864 of the family's 1533-position model. The record is from RNAcentral.